Molecule: non-coding RNA, 456 nt
Organism: Camellia sinensis
Lineage: Eukaryota; Viridiplantae; Streptophyta; Magnoliopsida; Ericales; Theaceae
Source: RefSeq, a predicted model, not a curated record
AGAUUGUGGGAUUUUUAUUUGUUACAUAAUCCAUCAAUACAUACAUGGCAUCGAGGUUGAGAACACGAUAGAUGGGCUGUCGCCACCUAUUUUACGCUCGGUGAUGGUGAAAAUGUUCCUGAACGACCCAAGCAAGGGACUGCGUGCAGGGAUAUUAUGGCCAGGCACCGGACCAAAGCUAGAAGCGUCGAAUUAAGCUCAUGUUUUGUCAAGCCAACCUUCGUGCCUCCCUUCGAGGUUUCGUGUCUGCUCGAGCCAAGGCUUUUGGGGUGCUUUAGAUUCACCAUUUUUGUCUUUGUUAUGUAAUGAAUGUUUAAGACUUGAUUGUACAGUUAUGGUGAAGUAUUAGGUCCCUAAUCUAUAAGCUACUGUGUAUAACCGUUUUGAUAUGUAAAUAGAUGUAUAUGGCUAUGAAUGUGGUUGUCGAUAAAAGUUUUUCCCAUUCAGGUUUUCACA